GCGGGUGUAGCUCAAUGGUAGAGCAGCAGCUUCCCAAGCUGACGACGGGGGUUCGAUUCCCCUCACCUCCCACCA
RNAcentral lists this transfer RNA (75 nucleotides) under Sphingobium xenophagum. Its description in RNAcentral is "tRNA-Gly". It matches the Rfam family "tRNA". From Rfam's summary of the family: Transfer RNA (tRNA) molecules are approximately 80 nucleotides in length. Their secondary structure includes four short double-helical elements and three loops (D, anti-codon, and T loops). Further hydrogen bonds mediate the characteristic L-shaped molecular structure. tRNAs have two regions of fundamental functional importance: the anti-codon, which is responsible for specific mRNA codon recognition, and the 3' end, to which the tRNAs corresponding amino acid is attached (by aminoacyl-tRNA synthetases). tRNAs cope with the degeneracy of the genetic code in two manners: having more than one tRNA (with a specific anti-codon) for a particular amino acid; and 'wobble' base-pairing, i.e. permitting non-standard base-pairing at the 3rd anti-codon position. The record is from RNAcentral. Lineage: Bacteria; Pseudomonadati; Pseudomonadota; Alphaproteobacteria; Sphingomonadales; Sphingobiaceae.